CUGGUGAUGCGAGCGCUAAUGGCUUUAUGAACGGUGAUGUUAGACCUGAACAAGCUCGACCACUCCGACUGCAGCCUCACAGUACUAUCGUACCCCAGGUCUGGUAAGGUCGAGAACACUGUGUGUUCCCUGUUUAACACAAACAACAUAUAGCUUAUACAUGUCACGGUUGUGACAUGCAACACCAGCAAGUGACCACUAGGUGUCACCGUGGAGACGAGUAUCGGUUUGUUUCGAAGCCUCGACACAGUUCGGCACAUUGCGUCAGUGUUCCACAAAGCCUCUCUCUGGCCCACUGACAUGCGUACCUGAAGGCGGGGACUGGAAGUCUUCACAGUGUAAAACACACAAACUCAUCCUCACACUCACUGCAGUGGGACUUUAACUGGACCGCUGGAUCUUACGAGUUGAGCGUUUGUUUGUUUUUUUCAUCAAAGAAACACCGUACAUUUAACCACCUCCAGCGGUUUCUCAUCUACUUUUUGUUGCGGAAUUUGGAGAGGAAAGUAGUCCCGUCCAUCACAUACAACACUUAUCAACAUUUGAAUGCUGUUGAGUCUUUAAAACUCAGCUGACCUGUUGGUCAUCGAGCCUCCCAGAAGAGCAAUCGUGUCCGUCGAGUUUAAAGAUGAAACUGGUUCAGGUCAACAAGACUUGUGCUGAACUUUGCAUGGGUGGUGUAUGCAACUACUCCACAUCACUACCAGAUUUCCUACAGAAGGAGGACUGUUAUUACAGCUGGAAAUCACAGGAUGGGACUGUGCUGGGCAAGGAAAGAUUUUUGACUCGUGAUGACUGUGAGAGUGGAAUUCACAAAGUUGUACGGUGUCUUAAUCCAAGUUAUGUGAGGGAAUACAUCUUUCACAUUUUCAACAGCACUACGCCAACCCCUGAAGCUGCUAAUAUGCGCGAAAGCAUGUACACCACUGUGAACCCUGACCCUCCCCAAUCUCAAAGCAACACCAUCGUCUCCAUCUCCAUCAUCGUGGUUGCCAUUCUGAUCGUAGGCCUGAUUGUAGGAAUGUGCUACAGAAAACGAAGGGUGAUAGUAGGACUCAGGGAGAAAUUGAUUUGUGGCUGCUGUCAAGGAGCAGAUGAAAAUAACAGGUCAGACAUCCCACUUGGGGACAUUGAACCAAGAAACAAUGAAGAUGAUGCUCAACUGAACACCUCAAAUACUGAAAGCGUGGACCCUGGUGAUGCGAGCGCUAACCGCUUUAUGAACGGUGAUGUUAGAACUGAAGAAGCUCGACCACUCCGACUGCAUCCUUACAGUUGAUGUGUGCAGAGUCGUCGAGAGCGAGUGAGGAUUACGGUUCGGCUUCAGAACUUCUGUCCAGUCUGCUUCUGCCUUUUCUACAGUCGCACUUUGCCGACAGUUUCGCAUCUGGGACACUUUUUAAAUCUGCAUUAAAAUUAAGUAGUUAAACUGAUACUGUGGUAUUAUAGGGCUCUAGAUAAAAGUGUCAUUUUUAAUCAUGACAAAGCAGAUCAAAUUUUAACUUUACACAUUGUUUUUAUACUUUGUAGCGGUAUUUUGGAGUAAAAAUGUAUUUUCAUAUGUAAUACUUGCUAUAUAAAUAACAUUUAUAAGAACUCAUUUUUGCCAAAGAAAGGGAAGAUCAAAGCAAAGAACCCCAAGAUAAAUUAAAAAACUUUUAGCUUCUUUUCUGCACUUUAAAACACUGCACAGCUGUCGGAAUCAAACCUGUAGCAUAGGCUCUUUAAGCUGUAGGUCACCUGACCAUGCCAACAUGACAGAUGUAGUAUGUCCAGAUUGUUUUCAUGCCUACUGCUUAUACUGAUACCUACAUACUGUAUCAGCGGCCGAGCUGUACGUACUGUCAUAUUAUGCAAUUUCAGACACUGGGUGUGUGUGUAUCUCUCAUUCCUGGCUAACUCUUAGGCCACUCAAGACUCGUUCCACUUUAGUUUACUUAUAAGCCCUUUCCUUAACUUGCACUGUAAGGCCCAAACUUUAGACUGGGUCAUCAUCAACUCUACGUUAUCGAAUCGAUGCUAUAAAGAGCACCAAUGGUGCCCAGUGCUGAUUCCUUUUUAUUUUCUCAUUGUGAUUGACCUUUGCUAUCUCCUUUAUUUUUUCUGUCUGUUCUGUAUGUAAUUUAUUUUGUGUGUAAAUUUGUUAGUAUUCUUUAAAUGCUGUCACCAGGUGUAGAGCUCGGCUGUUUGUCUGUUUUGCUUUAUUAUAUUCUUUUUUUUUUUUUUUUUUUUUUACACGGUCGGUGUGUGUGUGUGUGUGUGUGUGUGUGUGUGUGUGUGUGUGUGUGUGUGUGUCUUAGCGGUUAGGGCUCUGGGUUACUGAUUAGGUCGGGGGUUCAAGCCCCAGCACUGUCAAGCUACCACUGUCCCUUGAGCAAGCCUUAACCCUCUCUGCUCUGGGGGCUGACCUUGCACUCUGACCAUAGCUUCUUGACAGGCUGGGGUAUGUGAAGAAAAGAAUUUCACUGUGCUGUAAUGUAUAUGUGAUCAAUAAACACUCAUUAUUCUUAGCAGUGUCUUUUCCACCUUUUAUCCCAGUCAAACUUAUACCUGUUAUCAUCCUCAACCCUAGACUGGGGUGUAUCACUAUCCUCUAUUCCAGAAAAUCUGAGACAGCAAUACUAGAGACACAAUUUUUUAGAAAGUAAAAAGUCUUCUUUUUACAGAAGGAAGGGAAUUGGUGGAGCGACCAAUCAUAACCCUGUAACAUGAAGCCUUCUUUCUACCCCCAAAAUAGUCAAAUUGAACUUGGCUCA
Ictalurus punctatus (channel catfish) is the source of this 2756-nucleotide long non-coding RNA. Lineage: Eukaryota; Metazoa; Chordata; Actinopteri; Siluriformes; Ictaluridae. The record is from Ensembl.